Pelobates cultripes (western spadefoot toad) is the source of this 656-nucleotide non-coding RNA. The record is from the annotation of a GenBank genome assembly. NCBI's taxonomy places the organism in Eukaryota, Metazoa, Chordata, Amphibia, Anura, Pelobatidae.
CUCUAUGAUACCACGUUACAAAUUGACUAAGCAUACUUAUUAUUAUCCUAUUUUAUUUUAGUUAUUUCACAUUGCGCAGCCUAUGCAAACAAUGUCUAGGUCCCAACUUCAGCUUGUACAUCCUCUAAGAGCCAGCAUUAAUACUGUUUUAUCACUCAAAACUAUAUAUAAGGUAUUAAAAACAUGAACCAUCUGUGUAUUAGGCUGGGGUUGUUGGGUGUGGGUAUAGGUUGGAAGCUGUGGUUGGUAUUGAGGAACCUGCCAGGGUGGGUCCUUGAACGCCAGCUGGGCCAGGUUCUCCCUUAGCACCGGGUUCUCCUUUGUUUCCUUGAGCACCAGGUUCACCAUUGUUACCCUUAGGUCCAGGGGAACCUCUGGGGCCUUGAGGUCCAGGAGCACCACAGGCACCAGGGAAGCCAGGGGCACCAGCAAUACCAGUGGGGCCAGCUUGACCGGGAGAACCGGGUUCACCACGAGCACCUUGGGGUGAAUCCCUGCUAUCCAUAAUUAAAACAGUGCUGAAGUUACCACCUCUACAAAAGUUAGACCCUUUGAUCAAAUCCUCUACCUCUGCCUCUAAAACUUUUCUGAUUCAAUCUCCUAUCACCUCCCAAAUGUCCUUGUCUCGCCUGCUUAAGAUCACAAUCCUUUGUGAC